Molecule: ribosomal RNA, 179 nt
Filed under: Gammaproteobacteria bacterium
Lineage: Bacteria; Pseudomonadati; Pseudomonadota; Gammaproteobacteria
Description: partial 16S ribosomal RNA
Rfam family: Bacterial small subunit ribosomal RNA
Source: RNAcentral
UUCCCGGGCCUUGUACACACCGCCCGUCACGCCAUGGAAGUCGGUAGUACCCGAAGUCGGUGACCCAACUCCGGUUCGCCGGAGAGGGAGCCGCCGAAGGUAAGACCGAUGACUGGGGCGAAGUCGUAACAAGGUAGCCGUACCGGAAGGUGCGGCUGGAUCACCUCCUUUCUAAGGAA